CAUUAAGUUUAUUAAACUAAUUAUCAGAAAAAUGUGGUACAACAUGUGUUUAGGUUUUUUAUUGAUAUUUCAGAGUUUUCGUAUGUGAGGUAAUCUUGCUGGGAGUGAAGGCAGUGUGUAUGACCGCUUGAUAUGAGAGACACGUCCUGUUUUUAAAGGUGGAUCGUGAGUGAAGCUCUGCAGGUCCGCCAUUGGCUUGAUAACAGUUGUUUAUGUGAAUUGAGUGAAUUCAAUUUAUAAAUAAAUCUUUCACCAAGCAUUCACAUGUUUACUGACAAAACAGAUCCAAAUCUUGUUCGACUUGAUGCUCAACCUUGUAUGAUGAUGACCACAGCCAGGUGAUGGAGAUCUGUGUUAAUCACAGAUCAACAUGACAAUAGCAGACCAUUUCUUAUCUUACUCUUAUCUGACUAAAUGUUCAGCACACAAAAGAAACAUUGGAUGGAGUAUUGGAGUAUGUACUGUACAAUGAGCCAGCAAACAAAAUAAUAUGGACUUUUUUGGUGAGAUUCUACAAAGAUUGACACAAUCCUAUUGACUUUUAUUUUUACAUUUAAUAAUGCAUUAUAAACAUCCCAUUCAUUUGUAUUCUAUGUCAUCGAUCUGUUUGUGCUAAAAUGUAUGCAUCUGAAUAUAAUGUCAUAUGUUAAUAUUCAGAAUUUAUUAUCAUUUGCAUGUUUUGAUGUUGCAUGUCAUGAUUUUAUUGAUUUCAUGUAAUUGUUGUCUUUUUAGAAUGAUUUUAAUUGCCAAAUUUUAUUGUUAAUUUAUUUAAUAUUGAAGCUGUUAUUUAACAUCCAUAUCUUAUUUGAGUACUGAUUUGUUAUAUUUGCAUAAUAAUUCAUAUAUUUAUUCUGAUUGUAAUUUAAUGCACAUAUUUAUUAUUGUAUGAUAUCCCAUGUAAUGAAAAAGUGAAAAUAAAAGUAUUU
Non-coding RNA from Misgurnus anguillicaudatus (oriental weatherfish), 926 nucleotides. The record is from RefSeq and is a predicted model, not a curated record. NCBI's taxonomy places the organism in Eukaryota, Metazoa, Chordata, Actinopteri, Cypriniformes, Cobitidae.